This 400-nucleotide ribosomal RNA is filed under the name uncultured bacterium. RNAcentral's name for it is "bacterial SSU rRNA". It matches the Rfam family "Bacterial small subunit ribosomal RNA", at positions 30 to 417 of the family's 1533-position model. The record is from RNAcentral.
AUUGAACGCUGGCGGCGUGCUUAACACAUGCAAGUCGUGCGAGAAAGGAGGCUUCGGCCUCUGAGUAGAGCGGCGCACGGGUGAGUAACGCGUGGAUGAUCUACCCUUGAGUUCGGGAUAACGGUGGGAAACCGCCGCUAAUACCGUAUGACAAUCCUUUUCAACGAGGGUUCAAAGAUGGCCUCUGCUUGCAAGCUAUCGCUUGAGGAUGAGUCCGCGUCCCAUUAGCUAGUUGGCGGGGUAAUGGCCCACCAAGGCUACGAUGGGUAGCUGGUCUGAGAGGAUGAUCAGCCACACUGGAACUGAAACACGGUCCAGACUCCUACGGGAGGCAGCAGUGGGGAAUAUUGCGCAAUGGGGGAAACCCUGACGCAGCGACGCCGCGUGAGGGAGAAGGCCU